GGGCAUUGAAAGACUCCAUGUCUUGAAGCCUUUAAAAAAAUUCUAAGUGUUGGACACUCCUUUGAACUUCACAUAGAAAACCAUAAUUUCUACAUCCAAACCGAAUCACACAAAAAUACACCAUCACACUUGCCGACAACAAAUUGCUGUUGUUCGUCUUUGUCGUCAUCUUCAUCCCCACUCCACAGCUUGCUGGCUAUUCCCAUUUCCCUUUUAUAGCUUGAACAACUGAUCUUCUUCAAGUUCGAGCCACUGUUACUGACUUCUUUCGGGAGAGGUAAGUGGUUAGUUCUUUUUUUUUUUUUUUUUUUUGAAGAGACAACAAUCACCAUAAAUUUCUCAAAAUCCCUAAAAUUAUGCCAAAAAAAGGAAAAAAAUAAAGCUGCUCCAUGGCAUUAAAGGACUGACUUCGAGUUCGUGGACUAACGUGCCAAUGACUCCGCUUUAUGGCCUUCGUGGAACGAUUCCGUGACACGGGAGUGGCAGCGUGCUAUUUACGUGGAGUCGGAUCGGAGAAGAUUGUACUACGAGGAGUUGGCAACGUGAGAAAGACAGCGAGUUAGCAACUACGUCUUCGACUUAGGGUAAAAUUUUGGCAGAAUUUGAGCUGAAAUUUAGUGGGUUUUGAGUGGUAAGACGAGGUUUUGAGAGAGGAAAAGGAGUGUUUGGCUGGCGAGAAAGUGAGAGAAAUUUUUUGAGUGUGGAGUGAUGGCUUCUCUGUUUUUACUUCUUUAUUGUUCUUUAUUGAGUAGAUGGUGACGAUACAAACUUUUAACAUUGUUUACUUAAUUAAUUGGAUAACAAUCUUACAUGACUGUUUUGAUUUAUCAGAUAAAUUAAUUAGAGAAGAAUGAAGAUGUUGUUGCUCAGGCACGAGCAAUUACAACAGUCUAGACACUCUGCCCCGUCUUUCUUUCAAUGUUGUUGGCACACUGAAUAAUUUCCUUAGUGACAAGUUAACCAAAUUUAGAGGUAUAUGUGAUUUUGAUUUGACUUACUCUUAAUGAAAUACAAUUAAGGAAUUUUUCUGUUGUUUCUAGGCCUUUUGGAGAGUUCGGAUUGAAGCAACGUUUGCCUUAGCUAAUACAACAUCUAAGGUAUUGUUAUAAUUCUCACCUUUAUUUAUUAAAUAUAUUGAGCACAUGGUAGGUCCACCAAAAUGUAUGCAAAAUCUAUUCACCAGAGGUAUUCGCAUAAAGUGAAUUUUUGUGAGAGACUAUUCUUCAACUGUGAAAACUACUUUGGUAGUUCUCAAACCCAUUACAAUUGAUUGGUGCUUGUGUUUUUCUAUUAGAAAGAUAUCUUCUGUAAAAUCUUUGUGAACUACAUUUUUGGAAAUGCAAAUGCUUUGUGUGGUGGUGAUUGUGCUUAUUUGCUUGGUCUUCUAGCAUUUCAGUGAAAUGAUUUAUUUUGACUUGUGCUUAUGACUAACUUGUUGACAGAGAAACUAGGCCAUUUAUGGAUGCACUGAUAUGAAUCCUAUAAUUUUUCUCUUAAUUGACAUGUUGAACUUUUUGGAAGAUAUUUUUUUUUUAUUUGAUUUGUCACAUAUUGUGCUUUAUUAGUUGGAAAUGUUUUGGUUUGUGGACCAUGUUGCACUUACCAGUUCUCAAUAUUGAUAUAUGAUAAAUACGCACUAUUGUAUUGGAAAUUGAUUGAGUUGGUUUGCUCCAUCUGGUGAAAUUUUAUAAAAGUCGAAGGUUUGAUGACAAUAUUGGACUCCCCAAGUGAGAAUCUAUCUAAGUUUGAAAUUGUUCUGAUAUCGUUGCUGCAGCACUUUGUUAACGUUUUUGUUUUCUGAUGAUCAUUCUAGGCCAAAUGAUAUUCGUGAUUUUUCAGAGCAUUUGUUCUUGAGGUAAUGCCUUGAGGUAAGGUAUGUAAUGAGUUGUGUGAAGUGGGAUGUGAUAAUAAUUUUGCCCUUGCUUCAUGUGAUGAAAUCACACAUAAUUUGCCCUUGCUUUAUGUGAUGAAAUCUUUGGGUGGUUUGUUUAUUUAGUGUUUUUCUAUUUCUUUUAAUAUGCUAAUUUUCAUAGUUCUAGAGCAAGUCUUUCUCUAGUCAUUUUGAAAUACUUCCACAUGCUACUUCUUAGCCAAGAUUGUCUUGCCCUAAUGAACAAGUUAAAUGGAUUUGCGUUGCUUGGAGUUUCAGUGUAAUAUAUGUGUUUUAGAACUUAGAUUGAUAAACAAAUUUGAACAAAUACAGUGGAAGAAGAAUAAAGAGAAGAUUAAAAAAAAAGAGAGUAGAAAUAAAGAAAAGGAUGGUGAAACUUUAGGAGAAUAGGGGAAUCAAGGGAAGAGGAUAGAAUUUUGAUGGAUUUUAUUUAAUUAUGUAACAGAGGUUUUGUGUUGUUAGAUGUUGUGCGUUAAUUGAUUUGUAAUCUUGGAAAAAUACUUUAUCAUGAAUUGGGUUAAUUGUAAGUGGCCAAUACACUAAUAUAUAUUCAUUCUUCUAGCACUCAUCUAAAUGUAAUCUGUGUUUCAGGUGAUGUUGGUGGCUCUUGGGAAUUUACUAUCAGUGUUCUUUUUACGAAUUAAGUGUUUUUCUAAUGAUGGGGCAGUGAUUGAAUAUUGUAGAGAAUUUAUGAGCUAUUCUUAAGGAUUUGAUUCACCAUGUAUUUUGAUGAUACUAUUUGUUGGAAGUUUCAAGUAACUGAAAUUUUUAGUAUAUGGUGAUAUUUGGUAUUUG
RNAcentral lists this long non-coding RNA (2686 nucleotides) under Citrus maxima (pomelo). RNAcentral describes it as "long non-coding RNA (CMAX_LNC000590)". The record is from RNAcentral. Lineage: Eukaryota; Viridiplantae; Streptophyta; Magnoliopsida; Sapindales; Rutaceae.